GAGGAGGAUAUAUAUUAUGAUCUCAAUUAAAAAAAAAAAAAAGAAGUAGCAAACCACGGCUCUGGCCUCACGGCCCUCCGGCUGUUGGUGUAGGCAGGUGCUGUGGGUGAAAGGCUUUCCAAGGACAUUCUGGAACUCGGAGCUGAAACCGUUUCUGCAAGGGGCCUCAGUGGCUGAAGGGUGGAUGGGCACUGUGCUGGUCUCCCAGGAGAGUGAAACAUUUUGAAAAGUGAUGAGAGAGGUUGAUCAAGAAGGAUCGACCCCUUCUUGACUCAGGAUAGGAUCCCACCCCAAGUGACAGUCCCAUGAGAAAGUCACAGGCUCUGUAGAAUGCCAGGGGCUCACUCUCCCAUGCUGCCAUUGCCACCUAGGAGCACUGUGUCCAGCCCUAGCAAGGUCCAGCAUUUGAAAUCUGAAGUGUGGCCAUCCACUGGUGUUUAUUGCUUUUGUGCCUCUGUAAAAGGCCAUCUGCAUUCCCAGAAACAACAAAGGGUGGAAUCUGAACUGAGGUAAAGACCAACAAAAGUUAGC
RNAcentral lists this long non-coding RNA (531 nucleotides) under Mus musculus (house mouse). RNAcentral's name for it is "long non-coding RNA chr12:25061783-25062314". The record is from RNAcentral. Lineage: Eukaryota; Metazoa; Chordata; Mammalia; Rodentia; Muridae.